This 424-nucleotide ribosomal RNA is filed under the name uncultured bacterium. RNAcentral's name for it is "bacterial SSU rRNA". It matches the Rfam family "Bacterial small subunit ribosomal RNA", at positions 358 to 774 of the family's 1533-position model. The record is from RNAcentral.
GGAAUUUUGGACAAUGGGGGCAACCCUGAUCCAGCCAUGCCGCGUGAGUGAAGAAGGCCUUCGGGUUGUAAAGCUCUUUCGUGAGGGAAGAAACGGCCAUCACUAAUAAUGGUGGUUAAUGACGGUACCUCAAGAAGAAGCACCGGCUAACUACGUGCCAGCAGCCGCGGUAAUACGUAGGGUGCGAGCGUUAAUCGGAAUUACUGGGCGUAAAGCGUGCGCAGGCGGUUUGAUAAGUCUGAUGUGAAAGCCCCGGGCUCAACCUGGGAACUGCGUUGGAAACUGUCAGGCUAGAGUGUGUCAGAGGGAGGUAGAAUUCCACGUGUAGCAGUGAAAUGCGUAGAGAUGUGGAGGAAUACCGAUGGCGAAGGCAGCCUCCUGGGAUAACACUGACGCUCAUGCACGAAAGCGUGGGGAGCAAACA